This 227-nucleotide long non-coding RNA is filed under the name Elaeis guineensis (African oil palm). Its description in RNAcentral is "long non-coding RNA (EGUI_LNC067872)". The record is from RNAcentral. Lineage: Eukaryota; Viridiplantae; Streptophyta; Magnoliopsida; Arecales; Arecaceae.
CGCAGAGGUCUGAGACCUCCAACCUUGUAUUUUUCUUUUACUAUAAUUUUUUCUUUUCUUUUUGUCUUUAAGAAACAUUCACUCAAUAAAGUCAAAUUUCUCAUCGUGGAUGGCUUCUCCUUUCUUCCUUCCCCCUUUUUUGCUUUUCUUUCUACAAUGAGAUGUGUCUUGACGCUUUUGUCUCUCGAUUGUAGUGUCCUGCCGAAGCACUUCUCCUGUCCCAGGGG